Molecule: long non-coding RNA, 529 nt
Filed under: Cavia porcellus (domestic guinea pig)
Lineage: Eukaryota; Metazoa; Chordata; Mammalia; Rodentia; Caviidae
Description: lncRNA (ENSCPOG00000039606.1)
Source: RNAcentral
GCCCGGCAUGGUGAUCGCUGGCCCAGGCGGUUCCCUGUCCUGGCCUGACCCUGCAGCACAGUGGUUCAGGUGACGCUGGGGUCCCAGGAGAGGAGUGGGGAAACAAUCCUGGGGGAGAAGAGCAGACUAGGGAGGAAUUUCCCAGAUUCCAAGCAGGAGACGUCCGCCGGGGUCACCUUGACCUGUGACCUCUGACGGGACCCAGACCCAGAGCUGCGCGUCUCAUACGCUGUGGACAAAGCCCAUGUGAUGACUUCACCACUGUCCCCUGCUCCGAGGGCCUUAUAUAACGGGACACGCCGCCAUCUCCGGGGACUCUGCAGUCGAGCCAGAUUCCUCAAGUGCUCUGGUCACUCUGCGUCCGUUCCACGUUUUAGGAGACUCCGACUAUUUUUGGUAGUGGCUUCUAUGGUGCGAAUCUGCCAUUCAUACAGUCAACAAAUACUGAGCACUGCUAGGCGCCCCACCCAAUUCCAGGCUGCUUUCAGUGACUGGAGGACUCCAAGCCCUGGAGCAGGGCUGACAUAAG